This 1117-nucleotide long non-coding RNA is filed under the name Scleropages formosus (Asian bonytongue). RNAcentral's name for it is "lncRNA (ENSSFOG00015028991.1)". The record is from RNAcentral. Lineage: Eukaryota; Metazoa; Chordata; Actinopteri; Osteoglossiformes; Osteoglossidae.
GAGGAAAGCGGCCGCUCGAUCUCCUCCUCGCCACUCGGAUGCGCCGCGACUCCCGGGGUGUCGCCCCCCCCCCCCCCUCCUGCGCGCCCCGUGAUUGACUGUGCGUCGCUCGCGCUGGAUCCUCCUUCCUCGCGCUCCGUCUCCGUCCCCUUCUCCGUCGCUGCGCUCUCGAGACACUGUAAGUUCGCGCACGGGGAUGCGGGCACGCGGGGCCGCCUGAAGAUGCCAGUCCACUGGAUGUGUUCCUCCCUCCUCGUGCUGCUCGCGCUCGCGCCCGCGCCCUUCUCGGCCCUGCGGAACUACCCGGACAAUGAAGGAAACCAGGCUCCAUCAAUUGGUCUUAUUUACCACGGUGUGAUCAGGUAGAGGGUGAGCGUCGGGAAGAGCCCCGAGGACACCGUGCCAAGGCUGAACGAGGACUGUAGCGGUGACCGCGAGAAAUCUGCUGUCCUCCAUGUUGUCUCCUUCCUCGCAGGACCCCCCCCAGAGGAAGGACGGCCCUUUUUUCAAUCUCCUCAGAUCCACCAGGAGACACGCUUGUGGUGUACAGCUCAAUAUUUCCUGACCUCGUUCUGCUCCAGAACAAAUGUGUUUGGCCUCAGCCUCAGCGUUGCUGUGCGCACCUUCAGGUCCAAGGUAAAGCCUUCGGUCUUCAGAGCUGCCCUGGGUUGCUGUGGCUCUGACCCCACGUGGUGCUACGUGGCUUUUGACCAAGAAGUGCUGAGCUCCUGACUGACAGCUGCCGCCUUGGCUCAGGACUUGCGCCCGGCUGUCUUUAAGCUGGAGGAUUGCUCUUCUGCACCGCUCUGCAGAGGCCGUGUUGAUUCAGCUGUGUGUGCGAUCCGCUCUUUCUUUCGCUUGGUGCCUCGCUGCUGACCCAAGGCACCGAAUCCCAGACAGCAGCUGCUCAGUCCUCGCCGCUCUGCUGGUUUUCGUUAAAUGGUGGGUUCUUUUCGAGCUCUUUCCUCCACGGUGUUCACCCCACCCCACCCAACCUCAAGGGUCCAGGCAGGAGGUCUAGCACUACCUGCAAAGUUUGCAUUUUAUUGAUUUAUUUCAGCUCUGCUGUUGUGUAAAUAUUCUACCUGAUGAAUAAAUGAGGUUCUAUAGGUGGGCA